UACGUAGGUGGCAAGCGUUGGCCGGAAUUAUUGGGCGUAAAGCGCUCUCAGGCGGUCUCUUAAGUCUGAUGUGAAAGCCGCUGGCUCAACCAGGGAGGGUCAUUGGAAACUGGGAGACUUGAGUGCAGAAGAGAAAAGCGGAAUUCCACGUGUAGCGGUGAAAUGCGUAGAUAUGUGGAGGAACACCAGUGGCGAAGGCGGCUCUCUGGUCUGUAACUGACGCUGAGGCGCGAAAGCGUGGGGAGCGAACAGG
Molecule: unclassified non-coding RNA, 253 nt
Filed under: uncultured Bacillaceae bacterium
Lineage: Bacteria; Bacillati; Bacillota; Bacilli; Caryophanales; Bacillaceae
Description: contains 16S-23S intergenic spacer region
Rfam family: Bacterial small subunit ribosomal RNA
Source: RNAcentral